AGAACUGCUGGCAGCUCGUUCCCCACCCUCGGACGGAGCAACCAUCGUCGGUGCCUCGUCGCGCCGCCGGCACUGUCCCCCAGCGGCGUCGGACGGACUGCGGCGGUGCAUGUCAACCACGGCUCCAGCACUUGUUUCGUCUGCACGCAUUGUACCAACCGCAGGAAAGUCCGCCGCAAGCAGAUCCGCCGCCCACGACGACCGGGAUUUGUUCCACCGCUUGGUGCGAAAUAGUCCUCAAUGUCUGGUCGUAGCGGGUACACCGGCGAGGGUGGGGAUUCGAUCAUGUCGUGGCCACGUUCUACUUCUCCUACCUCGUCGGAAGUGCAGCCAGGCAAGCCGAUUUGGAGGAGAAGGUGGCCAAUUUAGGUGAUGAAUUGGCCCGUAAAAACCUGAUGAUAUUCGAGCUGAAGCGUACUAUGGAGGAAGAAAAGAAGAAUUCAGAGCUUAUUCGCAAGGAGAAGUUGAGAGUUGAGACAGAUCUUGCCGUAUUUGAUCAAGUGGUAGAAAAUCUAGAACAUGAACUUCAGGCGAUGGGAGAGGAGAAAAGUAGAUUCAUCUGGGCAGUUUUAUUAGUUGUCAUCCCUGUCCUAGCAGUUAUGUGAUUGUGGUAGACGAUUUAGAUAGUAUAUAAUUGUUAUUCAGUAGAUGGCUCUAACCACUGUAUUUUGUUGUGGCUCUAACCACUGUAUUUUGG
Long non-coding RNA from Lolium perenne, 697 nucleotides. RefSeq lists it as uncharacterized. The record is from RefSeq and is a predicted model, not a curated record. Lineage: Eukaryota; Viridiplantae; Streptophyta; Magnoliopsida; Poales; Poaceae.